AUGCACUUUCUUCCCCGUCUUCCACUCUUCUUCCUCCUCUCUUCCCCAUCGUCGGCCGCACACCAUUUCCCCCCGCUCACUGCUCGCCUGCCCGCGCUAUCUUCCUUGGUAGCUCAUGCGUACCAUAUCCCCCCGCUCACUGCUCGGCCACACGAGGAGAAGCUUCUUCGCUCGCCCGCCCGGAUCCACUUCCCCGCUGGCUCGCAGGCACCGAAAACCCCAAUGGCAGAACCAACUGACACGCGGAGCCGCGAUCGGAAUUCCCUCCCCGAUGUUCUCUUGGAGCAGAUCUCUAAUCGUAUGGACCUACUCAGCACUGUCCGUUUGGCCGCAUGCUCGGUGUCUUUGUACUGUCUACUCGUCUGCAACCGGCCGGCUCUUUUCAAGACACCCUGCUUGCUGAUGCCCGAUCCUCCCAGGUGGCCCAGACACCGACUUGACGAUCCUAUGGAGGUUGCCGUGGUGCCCCUCGACAUGCUACCACUACCCGUCCACCUGUCCUUCAUGCGCGACCACUACUGGGCGGGCAUGAAGGCCAACUGGAUCGUCCUCAUCGACCAAUCCGGUAGUCCGUGGCGUCUCGUGGAUAUCUACACCCAGCGAGAGAUCACCCUUCCAUCUUUGGAUACCGCCGCCAUCGAGCCUCGCGGCCCGCUGGACACUCCUGCCUACUACGCACGAGACGCGUCGAGCUUUUUGCUCGACCUCUGUUUGCCGAAGGUUGUAAUCUGUAAAGUGCCCACACCAUCAGAAGACUACAUGGAUUACAAGCUCAUUUCCACGUUCAACAUUGGAUUAGUCUAUCUGGAAUCCGGUCACCAUACAUGGUUAUGGCUCAUCGUCGAUCCUCUUCACCCAACACUUCUGUCUGAUGCUAUAGUGUACGAUGGCAUCGUUUAUGCGGUCGACACACACAUUGGCUGCCUAUACUGGUAG
Molecule: ribosomal RNA, 936 nt
Filed under: Triticum aestivum (bread wheat)
Lineage: Eukaryota; Viridiplantae; Streptophyta; Magnoliopsida; Poales; Poaceae
Description: partial small subunit ribosomal RNA
Source: RNAcentral